This 497-nucleotide ribosomal RNA is filed under the name uncultured bacterium. RNAcentral's name for it is "partial 16S ribosomal RNA". It matches the Rfam family "Bacterial small subunit ribosomal RNA", at positions 28 to 507 of the family's 1533-position model. The record is from RNAcentral.
GAUGAACGCUGGCGGCGUGCCUAAUACAUGCAAGUCGAGCGAACAGAUGAGGAGCUUGCUCCGCUGACGUUAGCGGCGGACGGGUGAGUAACACGUGGAUAACCUACCUAUAAGACUGGGAUAACUUCGGGAAACCGGAGCUAAUACCGGAUAAUAUAUUGAACCGCAUGGUUCAAUAGUGAAAGACGGUUUUGCUGUCACUUAUAGAUGGAUCCGCGCCGCAUUAGCUAGUUGGUAAGGUAACGGCUUACCAAGGCAACGAUGCGUAGCCGACCUGAGAGGGUGAUCGGCCACACUGGAACUGAGACACGGUCCAGACUCCUACGGGAGGCAGCAGUAGGGAAUCUUCCGCAAUGGGCGAAAGCCUGACGGAGCAACGCCGCGUGAGUGAUGAAGGUCUUCGGAUCGUAAAACUCUGUUAUUGGGGAAGAACAAAUGUGUAAGUAACUAUGCACGUCUUGACGGUACCUAAUCAGAAAGCCACGGCUAACUACGUG